UACGUAGGGUGCAGGCGUUAGUCGGAAUUACUGGGCGUAAAGCGUGCGCAGGCGGUUUGCUAAGACAGGUGUGAAAUCCCCGGGCUUAACCUGGGAACUGCGCUUGUAACUGGCAAGCUGGAGUGUGGCAGAGGGGGGUGGAAUUCCACGUGUAGCAGUGAAAUGCGUAGAGGUGUGGAGGAACACCGAUGGCGAAGGCAGCCCCCUGGGCUAACACUGACGCUCAUGCACGAAAGCGUGGGUAGCGAACAGG
RNAcentral lists this ribosomal RNA (253 nucleotides) under uncultured bacterium. Its description in RNAcentral is "partial 16S ribosomal RNA". It matches the Rfam family "Bacterial small subunit ribosomal RNA", at positions 524 to 776 of the family's 1533-position model. The record is from RNAcentral.